AGCGAACGCUGGCGGCAGGCUUAACACAUGCAAGUCGAACGGACCCUUCGGGGUUAGUGGCGGACGGGUGAGUAACACGUGGGAACGUGCCCUUAGGUUCGGAACAACACAGGGAAACUUGUGCUAAUACCGGAUGUGCCUCGUAAGAGGGAAAGAUUUAUCGCCUUUGGAGCGACCCGCGUCUGAUUAGCUUGUUGGUGAGGUAAAGGCUCACCAAGGCUACGAUCAGUAGCUGGUCUGAGAGGAUGGCCAGCCACAUUGGGACUGAGACACGGCCCAAACUCCUACGGGAGGCAGCAGUGGGGAAUCUUGCGCAAUGGGCGAAAGCCUGACGCAGCCAUGCCGCGUGGAUGAUGAAGGUCUUAGGAUUGUAAAAUCCUUUCAGCGGGGACGAUAAUGACGGUACCCGCAGAAGAAGCCCCGGCUAACUUCGUGCCAGCAGCCGCGGUAAUACGAAGGGGGCUAGCGUUGCUCGGAUUUACUGGGCGUAAAGGGCGCGUAGGCGGACAGUUAAGUUGGGGGUGAAAGCCCGGGGCUCAACCUCGGAAUUGCCUUCAAUACUGGCUGUCUUGAGUGUGAGAGAGGUGUGUGGAACUCCGAGUGUGGAGGUGAAAUUCGUAGAUCUUCGGAAGAACACCAGUGGCGAAGGCGACACACUGGCUCACUACUGACGCUGA
RNAcentral lists this ribosomal RNA (677 nucleotides) under uncultured Alphaproteobacteria bacterium. Its description in RNAcentral is "bacterial SSU rRNA". It matches the Rfam family "Bacterial small subunit ribosomal RNA", at positions 28 to 749 of the family's 1533-position model. The record is from RNAcentral. Lineage: Bacteria; Pseudomonadati; Pseudomonadota; Alphaproteobacteria.